This 253-nucleotide ribosomal RNA is filed under the name uncultured bacterium. Its description in RNAcentral is "partial 16S ribosomal RNA". It matches the Rfam family "Bacterial small subunit ribosomal RNA", at positions 524 to 776 of the family's 1533-position model. The record is from RNAcentral.
UACAGAGGGUGCAAGCGUUAAUCGGAAUUACUGGGCGUAAAGCGUGCGCAGACGGUUGCGUAAGUCAGAUGUGAAAGCCCCGGGCUCAACCUGGGAAUUGCAUUUGAGACUGCGUAGCUAGGGUGCGGAAGAGGGAAGCGGAAUUUCCGGUGUAGCGGUGAAGUGCGUAGAUAUCGGGAAGAACACCCGUGGCGAAGGCGGCUCUCUGGGACGGUACUGACGCUGAGACGCGAAAGCGUGGGGAGCGAACAGG